GUAGGGUGCAAGCGUUAAUCGGAAUUACUGGGCGUAAAGCGUGCGCAGGCGGUUUUGUAAGUCUGUCGUGAAAUCCCCGGGCUCAACCUGGGAAUUGCGAUGGAGACUGCAAGGCUAGAAUCUGGCAGAGGGGGGUAGAAUUCCACGUGUAGCAGUGAAAUGCGUAGAGAUGUGGAGGAACACCGAUGGCGAAGGCAGCCCCCUGGGUCAAGAUUGACGCUCAUACACGAAAGCGUGGGGAGCAAACAGGAUUAGAUACCCUGGUAGUCCACGCCCUAAACGAUGUCUACUAGUUGUCGGGUCUUAAUUGACUUGGUAACGCAGCUAACGCGUGAAGUAGACCGCCUGGGGAGUACGGUCGCAAGAUUA
This 369-nucleotide ribosomal RNA is filed under the name uncultured bacterium. RNAcentral describes it as "bacterial SSU rRNA". It matches the Rfam family "Bacterial small subunit ribosomal RNA", at positions 527 to 896 of the family's 1533-position model. The record is from RNAcentral.